GGUAGUAGCAAAUAUUCAAAUGCGAACUUUGAAGACUGAAGUGGAGAAAGGUUCCGUGUGAUCAGUAAUUGGACACGGGUGAGUCGAUCCUAAGAGAUAGGAUAAUUCCGUUUGAAAGCUGGGCUGUUUGAGGCGUGGGGUUCGUCCUUGCGUUUUGUAUGCAGCCUCGUGUAUCGAAAGGGAAUCAGGUUAAUAUUCCUGAACCGAGACGUGGAUAAUAUGUGGUAACACAACCGACCCAGGAGACGCUAGCGUGUGCCCAGGGAAGAGUUCUCUUUUCUUUUUAACAAGCAUAUCCUACCUUGGAAACGGAUUAUCCGGCGAUAAGGAGGAUGCCUUGGCAAAGCACUUUACUUUUUGAAGUGUCCUGCGCGCCCACGACAGCCCUUGAAAAUCCUGGCUAGAGAUUUAUUCGCACCCUCGUUCGUACUCAUAACCCGCAUCAGGUCUCCAAGGUUAGCAGCCUCUAGUU
This is a ribosomal RNA of Phytophthora infestans T30-4, 472 nucleotides long. It matches the Rfam family "Eukaryotic large subunit ribosomal RNA", at positions 1456 to 1888 of the family's 3401-position model. NCBI's taxonomy places the organism in Eukaryota, Oomycota, Peronosporomycetes, Peronosporales, Peronosporaceae. The record is from Rfam.